AUUUGGAAACUUCUUACUUGGUAUCUUUGUUGGAGCUUUUGUAUUAUUUGCUGGAUUAAUUGGCUACAUGAAGAUUAAACAGAAAACAAUUGUAGACAAGAAAAGUAAGGACAGAAGAAAAGAUGUUUAUAUGACAUAUAUGACAGACACUGGCAAUAACAAUCCAGUAUAUCAAGAUCUCCAACAUAUUAGGCCAAGGGAAACAAAUCCAAAUCCAGUAUAUCAUGAUAUUAGGGAAACAGUUGACGAUUACAUUACGCCUAUACGUCAAGACAGAAAUGAAACAGAAACAGGUUACUGUACGUCUAUCGUCUAAU
Long non-coding RNA from Anneissia japonica, 317 nucleotides. RefSeq lists it as uncharacterized. The transcript has 3 exons. The record is from RefSeq and is a predicted model, not a curated record. NCBI's taxonomy places the organism in Eukaryota, Metazoa, Echinodermata, Crinoidea, Comatulida, Comatulidae.